RNAcentral lists this ribosomal RNA (498 nucleotides) under uncultured bacterium. RNAcentral's name for it is "partial 16S ribosomal RNA". It matches the Rfam family "Bacterial small subunit ribosomal RNA", at positions 28 to 507 of the family's 1533-position model. The record is from RNAcentral.
GAUGAACGCUGGCGGCGUGCCUAAUACAUGCAAGUCGAGCGAACAGACGAGGAGCUUGCUCCUUUGACGUUAGCGGCGGACGGGUGAGUAACACGUGGGUAACCUACCUAUAAGACGGGGAUAACUUCGGGAAACCGGAGCUAAUACCGGAUAAUAUUUCGAACCGCAUGGUUCGAUAGUGAAAGAUGGCUUUGCUAUAACUUAUAGAUGGACCUGCGCCGUAUUAGCUAGUUGGUAAGGUAACGGCUUACCAAGGCAAGGAUACGUAGCCGACCUGAGAGGGUGAUCGGCCACACUGGGACUGAGACACGGUCCAGACUCCUACGGGAGGCAGCAGUAGGGAAUCUUCCGCAAUGGGCGAAAGUCUGACGGAGCAACGCCGCGUGAGUGAUGAAGGUUUUCGGAUCGUAAAACUCUGUUAUUAGGGAAGAACAAACGUGUAAGUAACUGGGCACGUCUUUAACGUUACUAAUCAAAAAACCACGGGUAAAUUACGUC